This is a long non-coding RNA of Xenia sp. Carnegie-2017, 1234 nucleotides long. RefSeq lists it as uncharacterized. Lineage: Eukaryota; Metazoa; Cnidaria; Anthozoa; Malacalcyonacea; Xeniidae. The transcript is spliced from 6 exons. The record is from RefSeq and is a predicted model, not a curated record.
UAAUAUAUCUACACUGCGAGUAUUGAUAUUCGGCGCUAUACUAAGUCGAAGUUUCAGUUGUUUGAAUAUUCAAGAAGGUAUUUCCGUCGAGUUUUUUAAGCUGAAGAAACUUAUGAACGCUUUUUGGUGCAAGCGAGUAUGAACAAGCAAAAUUGGAAUAACGACGAUCGACGACGAGUAUGAUCUUGUGAAUUUCCAGAAUUGUCUUUUCCGCAGAGUCAGAAUGACAUAUAAUGCUUUGUGUACCAGUAAGUUACCGGCUGUUUUAGUGGUGCCACGAGACGUGACCGAUGACUCUUUGUUGCGCGUGUCUAAAAACAAUCGCCAUAUGCGUUUUCCUGUUGCGACGUGGAUACAUAAAGGCAAUAAAUUCGCCGUUUUCAUGGGAUCUUUGCCAUUAAACGAAGCUCUGUGGCAUCCAUCAUUCGCUCUGGUGUAGCUCCAAGUGGUGGAAGCACUGACGCAAGACGCUCGUCCAACGUGAAGCAAGAUAAAUAUUUAUCUCCCGUUGUGUCUUCAAAUCCUGUAUCGUGGAAUAAAGCGGAGGCGAAACAUCGUUCACUAGCAGCCAACGUCAGCAUGUCUAAAGCAACGAUGAAUCUACGAUCAAAUGACAAUGCAUCUAAACGUGUUUUUGUUGUGGAUUCUGUUGACAAAGCAAUUACUGAGCAAGGAUGGAAGCCUGCUGCACUGUGACGUCAUUUGCUCAAGUAAUGUUAGAUCCAUACUACCGAACGAUUGAUGGUUUUAAAGUUUAGUUGAAAAAGAAUGGUUGUCCUUUGGACAUCGUUUCUCACAUGGCUGUAAUCAUACAUAUUCAACGCAAUCAAGUGGAUUCACGCCUGUUUUCUUGCAAUUUCUUGAUGGCGUCCAUCAGCAAACGAGAAGCAAGUUUUUUUCGACCUUCGUACAGAGAAACGAUUGUAUAAUUUGUAUGCUGCGACUGAGGAAGAAGCCAAGAAAUGGAUAUCUAAAUUACAAAGCUUGGAUACGUAGAGCUUCCACGGUCCAAUUAUGAAUUUCAUUAUAAUCAAAAGAAAUGUUGUGCAUAUGUGAAAUAUUUUAACAUUUUAGAACGCAUAUUUAGGGUAAUUUAUGUAUGUAUUUUAAUUUUUUUAAAUAAUAGUAUCAUUUUGAGGCACGCACAGGUUUCAAAUAAUUAUGACUGAAAUAACCAAUACGAAUUUUCGUUGUAUUUCCACAUGUUAUAAAAAUAGUGUGACACCAGUUAUAA